GUGCUUGCUUCGGCAGCACAUAUACUAAAAUUGGUACUAUACAGAGAAGAUUAGCAUGGGCCCUGUGCAAGGAUGACAUGCAAAUAAAAAAAAAAAAAAGAAUAAUGU
Small nuclear RNA from Otolemur garnettii (small-eared galago), 108 nucleotides. The record is from Ensembl. Lineage: Eukaryota; Metazoa; Chordata; Mammalia; Primates; Galagidae.